GACGAACGCUGGCGGCGUGCCUAAUACAUGCAAGUAGAACGCUGAAGGAGGAGCUUGCUUCUCUGGAUGAGUUGCGAACGGGUGAGUAACGCGUAGGUAACCUGCCUGGUAGCGGGGGAUAACUAUUGGAAACGAUAGCUAAUACCGCAUAAGAUUGACUAUUGCAUGAUAGUCAGUUAAAAGGUGCAAUUGCAUCACUACCAGAUGGACCUGCGUUGUAUUAGCUAGUUGGUGGGGUAACGGCUCACCAAGGCGACGAUACAUAGCCGACCUGAGAGGGGGGUCGGCCACACUGGGACUGAGACACGGCCCAGAAUCCUACGGGAGGCAGCAGUAGUGAAUCUUCGGCAAUGGACGGAAGUCUGACCGAGCCAAGCCGCGUGAGUGAAGAAGGUUUUCGGAUCGUAAAGCUCUGUUGUAAGAGAAGAACGAGUGUGAGAGUGGAAAGUUCACACUGUGACGGUAUCUUACCAGAAAGGGACGGCUAACUACGUG
This 495-nucleotide ribosomal RNA is filed under the name uncultured bacterium. RNAcentral describes it as "partial 16S ribosomal RNA". It matches the Rfam family "Bacterial small subunit ribosomal RNA", at positions 28 to 507 of the family's 1533-position model. The record is from RNAcentral.